UGCUUGCUUUACCUUUCAUUUUCACUUUUCGUGUUUUGUGGGAUAGAGCAUCUUUCAUUUUCCCCUUCCUCUUCUUUUCUCCUCUCUCUCUCUCUGUCUUUGUGUGCCUUUUUCGAUUUCUCUAUCUCUUUCGUUUCAAUUCCAAUCCGAUCGUUUGUGAGUGAUCAAUAUUGGCAGUCGCAAGGACGCGGUGGAUCUGUUGGAAAUAUGAGCAUUAGUGCAUGCACACAGUGAUCGAUAUACAAAGAUAUCAAGUGAUCGAGAGCAGAGCACAAGGAUUUCUGGUAUUAUACUCAACAAAUUGACAAAAUUUGAGUGAGUUGGUCUGUUAGUACAUCCAUGGUUUGGUUUAGUUUGGUCACAGUGGCGAGGCCGCCAAAAACAUGUAAUAAAUUAAAGGAAAAAUUAGUAUUCGGUCCAUACGAGGUUCGAUAUUGCUUACUUAGUAAUUGUCGUGAGUCAGUUUAUGAAUGCAUCCAGUGAGGAUCAUAUGGCGGCGGUAAUACGAAUUUUGAGUUACUUAAAAGAAGCUCCAAGGAAAUGACUAAUGUACAGGAAGCAUGGGCAUAUGGAGGUGAAAGGGUACACCAGUGUAGAUUGGGUUGUAAAUAUUACUAAUCGGCGGUUCACUUCAUGUUAUUUUACAUUUGUAACUAGUAACCUUGUAACCUGGAGAAGUAAAAAGUAAAAUGUGGCACGCGACAUUUUCGGCAGUGGCUGAAUACAAAGGAAUGGCACAUGGUAUUCGUGAGCUUUUGUGGCUUUGGAUUAUGCUUACUAAAGUAGAGUUUAAGCCCAAAGAUCAUAUGUUGUUGUAUUGUGAUAAUCAAGCGCGGGAGAUAGCUAAUAAUCCAGUGCAGCAUGAUAGGACUAAACAUGUUGAGGUGAACAUGCACUUCAUAAAAUAAAAUAAAAAAUUAGAUGUUAAGUUGGUUGACAUUCUGUUCGUAAAGACAGAUGAGCAGCUAACAGAUGUUCUGGCACAUGCAGUCUCGGCAAGGAGGUUUCAGUACUCACUCAACAAGUUAGGCCUAGAUAAUAUCUACAUGCCAACUUGAAGGGGAAUGUUGGUGUGAGUCAACAUGUUAAAUGAAUUAGGAGUGUAUGUAUGUUUCCUAUAUUUAUGCUUCCUAGUUUGGUUGUAACUCUCUGAGGAGAGAAGUUGUGUAUAUAUGUUACCUCCCAACGGGAGGAGUAAAAAGAAAAAGAUUUGAAACA
Pyrus x bretschneideri (Chinese white pear) is the source of this 1218-nucleotide long non-coding RNA. RefSeq lists it as uncharacterized. Lineage: Eukaryota; Viridiplantae; Streptophyta; Magnoliopsida; Rosales; Rosaceae. The record is from RefSeq and is a predicted model, not a curated record. The transcript is spliced from 2 exons.